Long non-coding RNA from Salmo salar (Atlantic salmon), 1487 nucleotides. RefSeq lists it as uncharacterized. NCBI's taxonomy places the organism in Eukaryota, Metazoa, Chordata, Actinopteri, Salmoniformes, Salmonidae. The record is from RefSeq and is a predicted model, not a curated record.
UUGAAGGCACUGUAUCUGUUGGGUGAUUGGUUGAGUCUUCUUGGCUAACAUUGUCGCCGAGGAGGGCUUGCUAGUUAGCUCCAGUAUUUGCAUAAUCUCAGACGUUGUCUUAUAAAAACAGCUCAACUGCUAGCUAGUGAAAUGCUAAUUUGUGAAGCUGCCUAGCUAACAUUUGCUAAUAGCUAGACCACAGACAAAAGGCUAAACCUUAGUUUGGGGUUAGUUGGUUCUCUUUCAUUUUUGUAACGGUUCAGCCAACGACCUAUGGGAACCCCUUCCCGCGAUGUGAUUGAGAUGCUUAAUUGAGUACCACAGUAUGAGUCAUAUCCAUAAAACCUAGCGGUAAAACCCAGAAAUGGUUCGUUUUCCACCAGUAAAUUUUAGAACUACUUCGUAUAAGGUCUGUGUUUCGUGUAGGCUUAACCUGGCGCGACUUUUGAUAAUCACACACAUCUCUCUCGGACAAGGUAACUUUUAUCAAUAUAUUCGCCUGUAAUUACCCCCCAAAAAUGAAACACUAAUUAGACGCUAAUGUGGCUAUCAUACAGAACUACUCAUCCUGCUGCAAGCUUUGACGUAAUCACUCAAGGCGCAGGGUGGGAAAAACCUCCACAAUUCUCAAUGCAAACUCUCAUUGACAAGUAACAAGUGACCUAGCAAGUUGAUAUUUUAACGUUUUUAGUUUCUUGUGUAAAUUAUUUAGAUUGUGUAUUUCUAGUAUAUAUUCUUGUUGAUACUUUUUCCAAUUACCUAGCUAGCUACCUUGGCAUUUUUUGAUUACAAUACUUUUUUGAAUUACCCUGGCCUUGUAGUUAACUAGCUAACCUUAGGUCUCUCCGUCGAUCAGAAACAGGGAUGGUUCUGUGCUAUGUACUGGAUUGUAACCACAACUCCGAUGAGCACACGUGCAUUUUAUCAUUUUCCGACCUCUGUGAGAGGCAUCGCUGGAGCUGUGUGAUAAGAUGAGACAUGAAGAUUGGGUGUAGAGGGACUACUUGUCACAUUGUGCAGUUGUAGAGACUACAGGAUAUCAAGCUUGUGGACGGACAGUCUAACAGGAGUACAUUCCUCAGACUAUCUAGUACAUCCCUCAGACCAUCAGACAUCCUGUGCCAGUGUGAUCCGAGCAUGAGUGUCAAAGUUGUGGAGACUACAGCACAUCGAGCCUAUGGACGGACAGACAUGAGGCGUGACAUACUGAACAUCAGGCUCACCCCACGAGAAGCAGUGCAUGAUCAACGCCACUGUACUCUCUCUCUUAAUCUCUCAUUCUGGGGACAACACCCCAUCCAACGACUGAUCUGAAGACCCUUUUUAGCAGCGACGGAGUAACGCGAUUGGCCCUAACCACUACUCCAUAAUUGCUGGCCGUCAACCUCCCUCUCCUCAUGGUGUGCCAGUUGGGGUUGGUGCGCUGUCCAACUGUUGCCUGCUGUAUAACUUCCUGAAAUGUGCUAUAUAAAUAAAUGUUGAUUUGAUUGAUGACA